Mytilus trossulus (common blue mussel) is the source of this 548-nucleotide long non-coding RNA. RefSeq lists it as uncharacterized. Lineage: Eukaryota; Metazoa; Mollusca; Bivalvia; Mytilida; Mytilidae. The transcript is spliced from 3 exons. The record is from RefSeq and is a predicted model, not a curated record.
UUUAAAUAUUUACCCUGCCACGUUGUUUUUUUUGCCGGCGAAAAAACAACAUGGUGCUUGUUUUGUUUUGUCAUAGUGAAGUUUGAUGUAACCCCAUGCUUUCUGACAUGAGCCCACCCUGAAGAAGAUGGAGCAAAGACAAAAAUCAGUUAUGACAAUGUUAUGCCAAAAGAUGACUUAAAGGGGCAUCUGGAGUAAAAAGACAGACUACUGAUUCUUCAAAUGACCAUGAGAACAGUUGUAAAUUGUUAAUGAAAGAAGAGGAAGAAGUGGAUGGACAGGAAUCAGACUAAAACAAUUAUGCAUAUAUGUUGAAUGUAACAAUUGUUUUUUUUUUAAUUAUGCCAAUUUAUAAAGAUAAGACCUGAUUUGUAUAUACAUAUAUGCAUGAUAAAGAUAAAUACACCAUAAAAAUAUUUAAUUUUGCUUUAUUCUUUUGCAGGAAACCAAGUAUGAAAUUGAGAGGGUUUCAGUAUUUCUAGCAUAUUAUAGUAUUCAUUUAUACUUGGGAUUGGUAUACAACUAUACAAACAACUGAUCAAGCAGAA